Molecule: ribosomal RNA, 460 nt
Filed under: uncultured bacterium
Lineage: Bacteria
Description: partial 16S ribosomal RNA
Rfam family: Bacterial small subunit ribosomal RNA
Source: RNAcentral
CCUACGGGUGGCAGCAGUGAGGAAUAUUGGUCAAUGGACGAAAGUCUGAACCAGCCAUGUCGCGUGAAGGAUGACUGCCCUAUGAGUUGUAAACUGCUUUUGUAAGAGGGUAAACGGAGACACGUGUACCUGUUUGAAAGUACUUUAUGAAUAAGGAUCGGCUAACUCCGUGCCAGCAGCCGCGGUAAUACGGAGGAUCCGAGCGUUAUCAGGAUUUAUUGGGUUUAAAGGGAGCGUAGAUGGGUUGUUAAGUCAGUUGUGAAAGUUUGCGGCUCAACCGUAAAAUUGCAAUUGAUACUGGCAGUCUUGAGCACAGUUGAGGUAGGCGGAAUUCGUGGUGUAGCGGUGAAAUGCUUAGAUAUCACGAAGAACUCCGAUUGCGAAGGCAGCUUACUAAACUGCGACUGACAUUGAUGCUCGAAAGUGUGGGUAUCAAACAGGAUUAGAUACCCUGGUAGUC